Molecule: ribosomal RNA, 515 nt
Filed under: uncultured archaeon
Lineage: Archaea
Description: bacterial SSU rRNA
Rfam family: Archaeal small subunit ribosomal RNA
Source: RNAcentral
AACCUUUACACUGCACGACAGUGCGAUAGGGGGACUCCGAGUGUGAGGGCAUAUAGCCCUCGCUUUUCUGUACCGUAAGGUGGUACAGGAACAAGGACUGGGCAAGACCGGUGCCAGCCGCCGCGGUAAUACCGGCAGUCCGAGUGAUGGCCGAUAUUAUUGGGCCUAAAGCGUCCGUAGCUUGCUGUGUAAGUCCAUUGGGAAAUCGACCAGCUCAACUGGUCGGCGUCCGGUGGAAACUACACAGCUUGGGGCCGAGAGACUCAACGGGUACGUCCGGGGUAGGAGUGAAAUCCUGUAAUCCUGGACGGACCACCAAUGGGGAAACCACGUUGAGAGACCGGACCCGACAGUGAGGGACGAAAGCCAGGGUCUCGAACCGGAUUAGAUACCCGGGUAGUCCUGGCUGUAAACAAUGCUCGCUAGGUAUGUCACGCGCCAUGAGCACGUGGUGUGCCGUAGUGAAGACGAUAAGCGAGCCGCCUGGGAAGUACGUCCGCAAGGAUGAAACUUAA